AGUGAACGCUGGCGGUAGGCCUAACACAUGCAAGUCGAACGGCAGCACAGUAAGAGCUUGCUCUUACGGGUGGCGAGUGGCGGACGGGUGAGGAAUACAUCGGAAUCUACUUUUUCGUGGGGGAUAACGUAGGGAAACUUACGCUAAUACCGCAUAUGACCUACGGGUGAAAGCAGGGGAUCUUCGGACCUUUCGCGAUUGAAUGAGCCGAUGUCGGAUUAGCUAGUUGGCGGGGUAAAGGCCCACCAAGGCGACGAUCCGUAGCUGGUCUGAGAGGAUGAUCAGCCACACUGGAACUGAGACACGGUCCAGACUCCUACGGGAGGCAGCAGUGGGGAAUAUUGGACAAUGGGCGAAAGCCUGAUCCAGCCAUACCGCGUGAGUGAAGAAGGCCUUCGGGUUGUAAAGCCCUUUUGUUGGGAAAGAAAAGCAGCAGGUUAAUACCCCGCUGUUCUGACGGUACCCAAAGAAUAAGCACCGGCUAACUUCGUG
Molecule: ribosomal RNA, 492 nt
Filed under: uncultured bacterium
Lineage: Bacteria
Description: partial 16S ribosomal RNA
Rfam family: Bacterial small subunit ribosomal RNA
Source: RNAcentral